UACGUAAGGUGCAAGCGUUGUCCGGAAUUAUUGGGCGUAAAGAGCUCGUAGGCGGUCUGUCGCGUCUGCUGUGAAAACUCAGGGCUUAACCCUGAGCUUGCAGUGGGUACGGGCAGACUAGAGUGCGGUAGGGGAGACUGGAAUUCCUGGUGUAGCGGUGAAAUGCGCAGAUAUCAGGAGGAACACCGGUGGCGAAGGCGGGUCUCUGGGCCGUAACUGACGCUGAGGAGCGAAAGCAUGGGGAGCGAACAGG
This 253-nucleotide ribosomal RNA is filed under the name uncultured bacterium. RNAcentral's name for it is "partial 16S ribosomal RNA". It matches the Rfam family "Bacterial small subunit ribosomal RNA", at positions 524 to 776 of the family's 1533-position model. The record is from RNAcentral.